CCUCCCUGUAGACGGAUUCCCUUCUGGUUCUUUCCCCAAGUUCCACCUUUGGUUUGGUUUCUCUGACUGUUUUUGUUGUAUUUAUUUUGUUUCUUUCAUACUAACACACCCUCACACACACCCAUCCAUCAUCCUGCGCAGACACUACUGAAACCACAGGUGCAGCUCCAAAGCCAUACGUCACCACACUGGAUCAAACAGAGAACCGCGCUGUGCUGCAGUGUGAAGUUCAAGGUGCUUUUCCUAAACCUACAGUAGAGUGGCAGGACAGUGAUGGAAACAAACUUCCUGCUGAGGAGCCACAGGUCUCAGAAAGAGGAGGCAGCUUCUACAUCAUCCUCCAAACUACUGUAAUGAAGACCGACCGCUAUCGCUGUGUAGCCACACAGGAGGAGAUCAAACAUCACAUUUAUACUGAGACCUUCAUAUACAUCCAUGGGUUCCCCAUUGGAUUGGUUGUUGCUGUGGUUAUUGUUGUUGCCCUUUUAUUUGGUGUUUGGAGUUAUAUUAUUCUUAAGCAUUAAGCGUUCUGUUGGUAUUUACACCAGGGUAGGAUCAAGGAGGAAGGGAUUUCAG
Molecule: long non-coding RNA, 576 nt
Organism: Micropterus dolomieu (smallmouth bass)
Lineage: Eukaryota; Metazoa; Chordata; Actinopteri; Centrarchiformes; Centrarchidae
Exons: 3
Source: RefSeq, a predicted model, not a curated record